This 241-nucleotide unclassified non-coding RNA is filed under the name Hevea brasiliensis (rubber tree). Lineage: Eukaryota; Viridiplantae; Streptophyta; Magnoliopsida; Malpighiales; Euphorbiaceae. The record is from RNAcentral.
GGGUAUUCUUAGCGCUUUGAGAGUUCUAAUGGCGUCCCAUACUCCUCCUCUUGACGCCUUGGUUGUUCCUUCUGAGGACUAUCACCAGAGUGAAUAUGUAUCUGCGAGAGAUAAACGACGUGAAUUUGUGUCAGGUUUCACCGGAAGUGCUGGUCUGGCCCUUGUAACUCAGAGAGAAGCAUUACUGUGGACCGAUGGGCGGUAUUUCCUGCAGGCAAUUCAACAGCUUAGUGAUCAGUGG